This 29-nucleotide non-coding RNA is filed under the name Mus musculus (house mouse). Lineage: Eukaryota; Metazoa; Chordata; Mammalia; Rodentia; Muridae. The record is from RNAcentral.
UAAAAGAACAUGUGCAAGACAGGAGUGUA